Long non-coding RNA from Corticium candelabrum, 151 nucleotides. RefSeq lists it as uncharacterized. The record is from RefSeq and is a predicted model, not a curated record. The transcript is spliced from 3 exons. NCBI's taxonomy places the organism in Eukaryota, Metazoa, Porifera, Homoscleromorpha, Homosclerophorida, Plakinidae.
GCAUAGAUGGCACACACGGUUGGCCAGGUCAUCAGGGGCCUUGCCAGUGGAAAGAAGGGAGAAGUUGGCCAAAGAGAAAGCCCAGGUCAUUCUAGGCCUGCCAGACCAAGAGAACCACCAAAGCCAGAGGGAAGAUAAAGAAAUUCCUUGC